This is an RNA transcript of Lactuca sativa (garden lettuce), 3560 nucleotides long. It is a transcript of the gene named importin subunit beta-1 pseudogene, with no coding region annotated. NCBI's taxonomy places the organism in Eukaryota, Viridiplantae, Streptophyta, Magnoliopsida, Asterales, Asteraceae. The record is from RefSeq and is a predicted model, not a curated record.
UAGUAGAGUCUAAUGAGCAUUUUGUACACAAACAUGUAUUUGGAAAACCCUAAGCCUUGGUGGCUAUACACACAUGAGCUGGAGAACAAAAUCUCACGUUUGGAAGAGGAAAAUGAAAGACCCAGGAGGCAGAAGUGUUAGCCAGAAAAAUUUAUGGCAUUGGAAGUUACCCAAAUUCUGUUGAAUGCACAAGUUGUUGAUGGAUCUGUUCGGAAGCAUGCUGAAGAGAGUUUAAAGCAAUUUCAGGAGCAAAAUCUACCUGGCUUUCUGUUAUCUCUCUCUGGAGAACUUGCUCAUGAUGAGAAGCCUGUUGAUAGUCGUAAACGAGCUGGUUUGAUUCUCAAGAAUGCUUUAGAUGCAAAAGAGCAACAUAGAAAGUAUGAACUCAUCCAAAGAUGGUUAUCACCUGAUGUGGGUGUUAAAUCAAAAAUUAAGACAUACCUAUUACAGACACUCACCUCUCCUGUUCACGAGGCAAGAUCAACUGCAUCACAAGUUAUAGCUAAAGUUGCUGGAAUAGAGCUUCCACAAAAACAAUGGCCUGAGCUCAUUGGCUCCCUUCUAUCAAACAUUCACCAAGUCCCUGUUCAUGUCAAGCAAUCCACUUUAGAAACUCUCAGGUAUUUGUGUGAAGAAGUUUCUCCAGAUGUUGUAGAACAAGAUCAUGUGAAUAAAAUCCUCACAACUGUUGUUCAAGGCAUGAAUGCAAGUGAAGCUAGUAAUGAUGUAAGACUUGCUGUAACUAGAGCACUUUACAAUGCUCUUGGUUUUGCUCAAGCAAAUUUCACCAAUGAAAUGGAACGUGAUUAUAUUAUGAGAGUUGUUUGUGAAGCAACUUGUCUUGGUUUAGUUGUAAGAAUAGUAGGAAAUGAUAUUGUUCCACUUGUGAUGCCUUCCAUUGAAGAAAAGAUAACAAAACCAGAUUGGAGACAAAGGGAAGGAGCUACUUAUGCUUUUGGAUCCAUCUUAGAAGGUCCUUCACCCAAUUAGUUGACUCCUUUAGUCAAUGUUGCUCUAAACCACAAGCAAGGUUGUAUACCUGCAUCCAUCACGUGGUUUAUAAUUAAAUAAAUUUGGCGAAAUAGGGUUUUUGGUUCUACGAGUUCUUAUAACCCUGUCAUGGCGACUAUGGUUCAUGAAGGAUCUUAUUUUCAUGAGGCUCAAUUUGAUUCAAAGAUGAAAGAGUUGCUUUCAUCUGAUGGACUCGUCUUUUUCUCAUCAUAUGAUUUUUUUACCCAUAAUAGAUAAGUAAUAACUGUUCUAUCCCCCUUACAUAUCAAGUGGUAGAAAUUGACCCUUCAGAGAGUGCAGAUGCAGAUCCCUUAUCAGUUACAAAACCUGCCAGAUCUGGAAAAUUUAGCUUUAGGGGUACUUUUAGUCUCUCAAAGCCAAAAUCAACUAGCUCAAGGAGGAACAUCCAAGUUCUAGAAGCAAUUGACCAUACUACCCCUACUCCCAACAUGUUUUCCCCACAGGACUAUGUGGGACAAGGGGGAAAUAUGAUGUUUUCCUCUCGAAAUGAUGCCUAUCUUUCACCUCGUGUGGGUAUAGCUGUUGCCACUCAGAAUUCUGAUGUUUUUAGUGCUGGACUAUCACUUCUUGAGCUCGAAAAGAAGGUGAGUCACAUUUUUUAUUCUUUAAAUAAUUUUGUCACCUUCUCACUCAAAAGUCUAUUUAACUAAUGGUAAUGUCUAUUCUUUUUCCUCUCAUAGCAAAUAGUGGAUGUUAAAGCUUUUAAUACAGAUUGAUCUCACUACAGACUUUCGAUUCUACUUCACAUGACAUCCGAUAGGACAAAAGUAAAUACAUUUACUUACACGUUACACCAUUUACGAAUUCUCAUUUUAAAUUUACAGUUUAGACUCUAGAUCUAUAUUUGACUUUACAAUUUAAAUUACUUAAUACAUGUUGUCCAUUAUCAGCCACACACCAUGUUUUAUAACAGGGAUGUAUUAAGCUUAUGUCUGCAACAAUCUGGUACUCAGUCACUUACUUGGCUUCAUCUUAUCAAUACUCCAAAUCUUUUUAAAUGGUAGGCAUCAGUCAAAGUUGAAUUAUUGAAGGUCUAGAUAUGAAAAGGGGACAACCAAUCAAACAGUUUCCAUUUUCCACCAAAUUCGAACACAUAACCUAUAAUUAGGGUUUCAAAAUGGACACUUCCAUCUGGAUUUAAAACCCAAAAACAUUCUUGCUAAUUCUGACUAUAAACUGAAGAUCUGUGAUUUAGAACCCUAAAUAGUCACAAAUAAGAAGAUUACAGAUUUUUUUUCCUGGUUUCACUCCCAAUGGACACUUCCAUCUGGAUUUUUUUUCCUGGUUUCACAAACUGAAGAUCUCGAGGUUUAAAUAACGUAGAGGUAGACAGGCAUUUAUUUAUGUAUCCUUUAUUGUAUAUUUGUAUUAAAAUAAAUAGCUAAUUAAUUUAAGCAUCAGCAUCGAGUUUCAUGGGGGUGGGGGGAUCAACCGAAUAUCUCCGAUGAAACUUCCAUCAUUUUUUGGAUUUGUGAAGAGGAAGUUCCGACUUUACACGUGGAAGAACAUUCUAGAAUUUGUGCGAUUGCUGAUUGUUGCGAUCAGACAGGUAUAAGUGUAGAUGAAAGGCUUGUAUGGGUUGCUGAAACCCUAGAGAAGUUAAUGGAGUUGAUUUCACAAAAGGAUAAUAGAAGUCCAGAUGCUCCUAAAGCAAGUUCAAGUGUUACCGAAGACUGUGAUUUCAUGUCCCCUAAGCUUAGUGAUUGGUCACGUAGAGGUUCAGAAGACAUGCUUGAUUGUUUUCCUGAUCAAGGCAAUAAUUAUGUAUCGAUGGAUGAUCUUAAAGCUCACCCCUGUAUGUCAUGUAGGACCCGCUUUGGUCCUAAAUCUGACCAAGGAAUGACCACAUCAUCUGCUGGCAGCAUGACUCCUAGGUCGCCAUUGAUGACACCAAAAACCAGCCAGAUAGACUUGUUAUUAGCAGGGAAGGGUGCCUAUUCUGAACAUGAUGACCUUCCACAGAUGAAUGAGCUUGCUGAUAUUGCUCGAUGUGCUGGCAAUACGCCAUUAGAUGAUGACCGAUCUUUGUCGUAUCUGCUGACGUGUCUUGAUGACUUAAGAGUCGUGAUCGACCGCAGAAAGUUUGAUGCCCUGACCGUUGAGACAUUUGGAGCACGCAUAGAGAAGCUUAUUCGGUGAUAACAUUUUUAUAAUAAACAUGUUUUUUCAUGAGGUGUGUGUUUGUUAAAUCAUAAAUCAUAAAUCAUAAAUGUUAAUUAUUAGUUGUUACAAGCAGGGAGAAGUAUUUGCAGAUUUGUGAGAUGGUUGAUGAAAAAGUUGACAUCGCAAGCACGGUUAUCGAUGAAGAUGCUCCAUUGGAGGAUGAUGUGGUACGGAGCUUGAGAACCAUCCCUAUACAUUCCGGAAAUAAGGACUGCACUUCCAUUGAUGACUUUGAGAUUAUAAAACCGAUUAGUCGUGAUGAUGCAAUUGUAUAUAAAUGAGUUCAUUUUUUAUAACAUUUACUCACUUUUGGAAUAAUUAUUUGUAUUUGACAUAUUAGUGAAAUGAAAUAUCUUUGUUAUUUA